This 17-nucleotide microRNA is filed under the name Macrophomina phaseolina MS6. RNAcentral's name for it is "miR-4276". The record is from RNAcentral. Lineage: Eukaryota; Fungi; Ascomycota; Dothideomycetes; Botryosphaeriales; Botryosphaeriaceae.
CUCAGUGACUCCCGUGC